Molecule: long non-coding RNA, 2801 nt
Organism: Drosophila mojavensis
Lineage: Eukaryota; Metazoa; Arthropoda; Insecta; Diptera; Drosophilidae
Exons: 3
Source: RefSeq, a predicted model, not a curated record
GUGUUGUAACAAAUUAUUUUAUUUUGAUUCAUAUAUCAUAUCAAAUAUAAAAUAUAGAUUUCUAAAAUAUUUUCAUCUCAAAUGAACAUUCAAACCAGAAUUUGAGUCUGAUUCUAGUUGUCAAAGUCUCAAUUGGAGUGCUACAACGAGGUCUUUUAUAUCUCAAUUAAGUGAAAUGAAAAUUUCGCUAACUCGUGGACUGUCUUUGAAACGUAGUAAUCAAUCCCGAAAUACGAUAUGGAAUAUGAAAUCAAUAUACGUCAAAAACUUUCCGUUUACAUUGAGCAAACCUGCCCCCUCUUCAGAUUAUAGUUCCUGUUUCCAAUUUAAACAAUAGUCGCGUGCGUCACAGUGCCAUCGGCGUAUUCUAAAUUGAUUUACCCCCCAAGUCAAUUCAGAACCAACUGAAAACAUUUUCAAGCUCAGUGACUUCUAUGCAAACGUUAACCAACCACUUAAUCGCCUUAGAGCGGUAAUCAAAGGCGCUAAACGGCUUAUGGUUAACUUAAUAAUUCAACAAGAGAAUUCAGUAUAACAUUAAUUCAUUUCAGAUGGAACUAAUUGCAUUCAAUUAAAUAGUUUAAGAGCAUAAGAGACCAGAGUAAACAAUAUUGUUAACUAGAAUUUCAGCAAUUCAAAAAGGACCUUAAAUUUAUUAAGUGGUCAUGAGCGCAUAGCAAGGAUGUUUGCAAACGGAGGGAAUUAUGUAACACAGUGGGUAAAGGCCACACAACACACAAAAACUGUGACCUUGACAGCCAAGCAGAAACGGGCAGCAAGACGGGCAUUGCACAAACCCAAUAUACUCAAAGACUUUUCUGAAUGAGUUUCCGAAAUAAUUUUCAUAAAGUUAGCUUUUGGUAUAUAAAUAUUGACUGCUGUCGAUAAUAAUUUAUGGAAUUAUGAUCUGUGAUGUGGCACCUGGGGGCAGUACUUGAGCGCUAAAUGGAAUUGACGUAUCCGUUCAACUGUUGAAUAUUAACUUUGACUUUUCGUUUUUGCAUUCACAUUUGUUUUGCUUUUUUUCAGUUUUCAUAUAAAUUGUAAAUAUUUUUGAACAGAAUUUAGGGGUCUGUGGCCGUUGGCCAUGCGUCCAGACUGCGUCAAAUUCAAGUUCAGGUUUGAAAUGGCAAAAAAGAAAACAUUUAAAGGUCAGGCGAGAAAGUGGGUUAUAUAUAGUUGCUAGAUACUCUGUACUGAGAGAGCGAUAAGAGAGUAUAAUAGAAAUUUGUUACUAUAUGAUCAAGUUUUAUUUCGAUAAAUUGAGUAAUUGUGUAUUGAAUCUGAGACGAUCUGCUCAUCUUUAAGGCUAAUUUUUAGACAGUGGAACAGACGUAUCUGAAACUGAAAAUUAUACCUAUACAUCGAAUCUAUUCGUAUUUCGUAUAAAUAUUUUUUCUUGUGUCUCACUUACAAAUUUUAAAAUAUACAAUUUCUUUAUCUAAUCAAUUUGGUAGUUAUUGCCUUUCUUAGAUACUUAACGGCUCUAGGGUAUACAAAAAGCAAUUUUAAUAUUCAAAACGCCAUUUGUUUAUGGCCAAUAGACGGAUUUAUUUUUUGGACGCCUACCAAGAAAAUGUUUGUCUUUGUGGCAGCAAAAAAAAUAGAUAUUCAAAAUGCAUUUCAGAAAUGCAUUCGACUGCACAUACUAUAUGCCGCAGCUGUGUGUUACUAUAUGAACAGAUCGAUAAAUAAAUAUAUGCAUAUGAAUUAAAAGCCAAAUUCAAAUGAAGCACACUUUGACCUUAGGGCCAGGCCGAAUCGAUAGCCACACGCGCAGAGACAAUUACGAUGUGUUGCUCUGGCUGGGCAUGCAAUAGUUUUCCCCCACAUUUAUAAUAAUGGUAAUAAUAAUAAUAAUAAUGUGAUUAAUUUCCAAGCAAAUCAUUGUAAAGAUGCAAAACUGCAACAAGCAUCAGCAAAUUCUCAAUACAUGCAGCCCCAUACAUAUAACCGGUUGCGGGCGGAUUAUGAACCAGUUCAAUGUAGCUCUCCAGCCAAGAUGGCAAAGUUCCGCUACGGAACUUGGUCAAAAUGAAGCACUGCAGCUGCCAACAAACACAAAUUUUUAGUGAAAUUCAAUUUGAAAAACAAUUUCUAUAUGCCUGGCGUGUUUAUGUGCACUGAAUUCAACCUAGAAAUGCGCGGAAAGUCUAGACUGAGUGCUCGAAAUUGCAAUAGACAUUAAUAUAAUAUUUAUACAUUUUUUAAACAUUUUAUUUUUAUAUUAAAUAAAAUAUUUUAAUUUAGUUCAAAACGUAACUCAUGCAACAUUUUCUCUCAGUGUAUGUAAAUAUAUUUUAUCAUUCGAAGGCAUUCAGUCAAACUUCCGUUCUCCGCAACAUUUGAACAACUGAACUUUCUGGCUUCAAGAAGGGAUUCGUUGCCCUGGAGAUGGAAAAGGUCAUAAAAUGACUAUUCAAAGCAAUUAAAUUUUAUUUAUCCUUGACUAGGUAUAAAGUGGCACGCAGCUAAGACAAAGGCUAAAACUGCGCCCUAGCAGGAGUCCACUGUACAUGGCAACCCAAACGGAACUCAACAGCUGCAACCCCGACACGAUCAGAGACCUUGCAGCAGCUAAUAUACCUGGAAAUAGGCAGGGGAGUUUUUUUUUUCUAUUUUGUAUUUUGGUAUAGGUCGUCUGUGAACUGUUGGCGGCGGCGCUCGGCGGCUCGGCAGCUCGGUUUCUGUUAUCAGUGGGAGAACAACAAUGUCGCAAAGAAAUCAAUGCAAAUGACCGGAAUAAAAAUAUUUUGGAAUGCGAAACACAGUUUCCAGCAAAAAAAAAAAAAAAAAUGAGG